AAUGAACGCUGGCGGCGUGCCUAAUACAUGCAAGUCGAGCGAACAGAUAAUGAGCUUUCUCCUCUGACGGUAGCGGCUGACGGGUGAGUAACACGUAGAUAACCUACCUCUAAUACUUGGUUAAUUUCGUGAAACCGGAUCUAAUACCGGAUAAUAUAUUGAACCGCAUGAUUCAAUAGUUCAAGACGGUUUUCCUGUCUCUUAUAGCUGGAUCCGCGCCGCAUUAUCUAGUUGGUAAGGUAACGGCUUACCAAGGCGACGAUGCGUAGCCGAUCUGAGAGGGUGAUCGGCCACACUGGAACUGAGACACGGUCCAGACUCCUACGGGAGGCAGCAGUAGGGAAUAUUCCGCAAUGGGCGAAAGCUUGACGGAGCAAUGCCGCGUGAGUGAUGAAGGUCUUCGGAUCGUAAAACUCUGUUAUUAGGGAAGAAAAAAUGUGUAAGAAAAUAUGGACGUUUUGACGGUACCUAAACAGAAAGCCACGGCUAACUUCGUG
This 497-nucleotide ribosomal RNA is filed under the name uncultured bacterium. RNAcentral's name for it is "partial 16S ribosomal RNA". It matches the Rfam family "Bacterial small subunit ribosomal RNA", at positions 29 to 507 of the family's 1533-position model. The record is from RNAcentral.